Non-coding RNA from Cicer arietinum (chickpea), 77 nucleotides. The record is from Rfam. Lineage: Eukaryota; Viridiplantae; Streptophyta; Magnoliopsida; Fabales; Fabaceae.
AUGGCAUGGUGAUGAUAAAUGUGAAUGUUUACAUAUGAUGAUUCAUAUGAUUAAGAAAAUCCUCCUACUCAUACUGA